UGACAGGGAAUGUGCCACUUGAAGGAGAGGACUGAAAAUCCUCGUGUCGGCGGUUCAAGUCCGCCUCCUGGCAU
Molecule: transfer RNA, 74 nt
Filed under: Leptolyngbya sp. SIO1D8
Lineage: Bacteria; Bacillati; Cyanobacteriota; Cyanophyceae; Leptolyngbyales; Leptolyngbyaceae
Description: tRNA-Phe
Source: RNAcentral